UUUUAACCACCUUUUUAUUUGGGCUUAAAGCCGUUCCGUAGCUGAUUUUAAGUCUCUUAGGAAUCUCCACGCCUGACUUGGAGGCCGUUCUAAGAAGAUACUGGAAUCUAGGGACCCGGGAGAGGUAAGAGGUACUUCAGGGGUAGAAGUGAAAUUCUGUAAUCCUUGAGGGACCACCGAUGGCGAAGGCAUCUUACCAGAACGGCUUCGACAGUGAGGAACGAAAGCUGGGGGAGCGAACGGGAUUAGAUACCCCGGUAGUCCCAGCCGUAAACUAUGCGCGUUAGGUGUGCCUGUAACUACGAGUUACCGGGGUGCCGAAGUGAAAACGUGAAACGUGCCGCCUGGGAAGUACGGUCGCAAGGCUGAGAGCUUAAAGGAAUUGGCGGGGGAGCACCACAACGGGUGGAGCCUGCGGUUUAAUUGGACUCAAAAAACGGGCAGCUCACCGGAUAGGACAGCGGAAUGAUAGCCGGGCUGAAGACCUUGCUUGACCAGCUGAGAGGAGGUGCAUAGCCGUCGUCAGUUCGUACUGUGAAGCAUCCUGUUUAGUCAGGCAACGAGCGAGACCCACGCCAACAGUUGCUAGCAUGUUCUCCGGAAUGAUGAGGACACUGUUGGGACCGCCUCUGUUAAAGAGGAGGAAGGAAUGA
This 653-nucleotide ribosomal RNA is filed under the name uncultured archaeon. RNAcentral's name for it is "bacterial SSU rRNA". It matches the Rfam family "Archaeal small subunit ribosomal RNA", at positions 486 to 1134 of the family's 1478-position model. The record is from RNAcentral.